This 2905-nucleotide ribosomal RNA is filed under the name Staphylococcus aureus. RNAcentral describes it as "bacterial LSU rRNA". It matches the Rfam family "Bacterial large subunit ribosomal RNA". The record is from RNAcentral. Lineage: Bacteria; Bacillati; Bacillota; Bacilli; Caryophanales; Staphylococcaceae.
GCACGGUGGAUGCCUUGGCACUAGAAGCCGAUGAAGGACGUUACUAACGACGAUAUGCUUUGGGGAGCUGUAAGUAAGCUUUGAUCCAGAGAUUUCCGAAUGGGGAAACCCAGCAUGAGUUAUGUCAUGUUAUCGAUAUGUGAAUACAUAGCAUAUCAGAAGGCACACCCGGAGAACUGAAACAUCUUAGUACCCGGAGGAAGAGAAAGAAAAUUCGAUUCCCUUAGUAGCGGCGAGCGAAACGGGAAGAGCCCAAACCAACAAGCUUGCUUGUUGGGGUUGUAGGACACUCUAUACGGAGUUACAAAGGACGACAUUAGACGAAUCAUCUGGAAAGAUGAAUCAAAGAAGGUAAUAAUCCUGUAGUCGAAAAUGUUGUCUCUCUUGAGUGGAUCCUGAGUACGACGGAGCACGUGAAAUUCCGUCGGAAUCUGGGAGGACCAUCUCCUAAGGCUAAAUACUCUCUAGUGACCGAUAGUGAACCAGUACCGUGAGGGAAAGGUGAAAAGCACCCCGGAAGGGGAGUGAAAUAGAACCUGAAACCGUGUGCUUACAAGUAGUCAGAGCCCGUUAAUGGGUGAUGGCGUGCCUUUUGUAGAAUGAACCGGCGAGUUACGAUUUGAUGCAAGGUUAAGCAGUAAAUGUGGAGCCGUAGCGAAAGCGAGUCUGAAUAGGGCGUUUAGUAUUUGGUCGUAGACCCGAAACCAGGUGAUCUACCCUUGGUCAGGUUGAAGUUCAGGUAACACUGAAUGGAGGACCGAACCGACUUACGUUGAAAAGUGAGCGGAUGAACUGAGGGUAGCGGAGAAAUUCCAAUCGAACCUGGAGAUAGCUGGUUCUCUCCGAAAUAGCUUUAGGGCUAGCCUCAAGUGAUGAUUAUUGGAGGUAGAGCACUGUUUGGACGAGGGGCCCCUCUCGGGUUACCGAAUUCAGACAAACUCCGAAUGCCAAUUAAUUUAACUUGGGAGUCAGAACAUGGGUGAUAAGGUCCGUGUUCGAAAGGGAAACAGCCCAGACCACCAGCUAAGGUCCCAAAAUAUAUGUUAAGUGGAAAAGGAUGUGGCGUUGCCCAGACAACUAGGAUGUUGGCUUAGAAGCAGCCAUCAUUUAAAGAGUGCGUAAUAGCUCACUAGUCGAGUGACACUGCGCCGAAAAUGUACCGGGGCUAAACAUAUUACCGAAGCUGUGGAUUGUCCUUUGGACAAUGGUAGGAGAGCGUUCUAAGGGCGUUGAAGCAUGAUCGUAAGGACAUGUGGAGCGCUUAGAAGUGAGAAUGCCGGUGUGAGUAGCGAAAGACGGGUGAGAAUCCCGUCCACCGAUUGACUAAGGUUUCCAGAGGAAGGCUCGUCCGCUCUGGGUUAGUCGGGUCCUAAGCUGAGGCCGACAGGCGUAGGCGAUGGAUAACAGGUUGAUAUUCCUGUACCACCUAUAAUCGUUUUAAUCGAUGGGGGGACGCAGUAGGAUAGGCGAAGCGUGCGAUUGGAUUGCACGUCUAAGCAGUAAGGCUGAGUAUUAGGCAAAUCCGGUACUCGUUAAGGCUGAGCUGUGAUGGGGAGAAGACAUUGUGUCUUCGAGUCGUUGAUUUCACACUGCCGAGAAAAGCCUCUAGAUAGAAAAUAGGUGCCCGUACCGCAAACCGACACAGGUAGUCAAGAUGAGAAUUCUAAGGUGAGCGAGCGAACUCUCGUUAAGGAACUCGGCAAAAUGACCCCGUAACUUCGGGAGAAGGGGUGCUCUUUAGGGUUAACGCCCAGAAGAGCCGCAGUGAAUAGGCCCAAGCGACUGUUUAUCAAAAACACAGGUCUCUGCUAAACCGUAAGGUGAUGUAUAGGGGCUGACGCCUGCCCGGUGCUGGAAGGUUAAGAGGAGUGGUUAGCUUCUGCGAAGCUACGAAUCGAAGCCCCAGUAAACGGCGGCCGUAACUAUAACGGUCCUAAGGUAGCGAAAUUCCUUGUCGGGUAAGUUCCGACCCGCACGAAAGGCGUAACGAUUUGGGCACUGUCUCAACGAGAGACUCGGUGAAAUCAUAGUACCUGUGAAGAUGCAGGUUACCCGCGACAGGACGGAAAGACCCCGUGGAGCUUUACUGUAGCCUGAUAUUGAAAUUCGGCACAGCUUGUACAGGAUAGGUAGGAGCCUUUGAAACGUGAGCGCUAGCUUACGUGGAGGCGCUGGUGGGAUACUACCCUAGCUGUGUUGGCUUUCUAACCCGCACCACUUAUCGUGGUGGGAGACAGUGUCAGGCGGGCAGUUUGACUGGGGCGGUCGCCUCCUAAAAGGUAACGGAGGCGCUCAAAGGUUCCCUCAGAAUGGUUGGAAAUCAUUCAUAGAGUGUAAAGGCAUAAGGGAGCUUGACUGCGAGACCUACAAGUCGAGCAGGGUCGAAAGACGGACUUAGUGAUCCGGUGGUUCCGCAUGGAAGGGCCAUCGCUCAACGGAUAAAAGCUACCCCGGGGAUAACAGGCUUAUCUCCCCCAAGAGUUCACAUCGACGGGGAGGUUUGGCACCUCGAUGUCGGCUCAUCGCAUCCUGGGGCUGUAGUCGGUCCCAAGGGUUGGGCUGUUCGCCCAUUAAAGCGGUACGCGAGCUGGGUUCAGAACGUCGUGAGACAGUUCGGUCCCUAUCCGUCGUGGGCGUAGGAAAUUUGAGAGGAGCUGUCCUUAGUACGAGAGGACCGGGAUGGACAUACCUCUGGUGUACCAGUUGUCGUGCCAACGGCAUAGCUGGGUAGCUAUGUGUGGACGGGAUAAGUGCUGAAAGCAUCUAAGCAUGAAGCCCCCCUCAAGAUGAGAUUUCCCAACUUCGGUUAUAAGAUCCCUCAAAGAUGAUGAGGUUAAUAGGUUCGAGGUGGAAGCAUGGUGACAUGUGGAGCUGACGAAUACUAAUCGAUCGAAGACUUAAUCAA